Molecule: ribosomal RNA, 694 nt
Filed under: uncultured archaeon
Lineage: Archaea
Description: bacterial SSU rRNA
Rfam family: Archaeal small subunit ribosomal RNA
Source: RNAcentral
UCUCGAUAGGUGAAGAACUCUGGAAUGAGUCUUUGCCAAAAAGAUGCUAGAGUUAUGCUCUUUGGCAUCGCCCAAGGAUGAGGCCGCGACCGAUCAGGUUGUUGGUGAGGUAAUGGCUCACCAAGCCUUUUACCGGUGCGGGCCGUGAGAGCGGGAGCCCGGAGAUGGGCACUGAGACAAGGGCCCAGGCCCUACGGGGCGCAGCAGUCGCGAAAACUUUGCAAUACACGAAAGUGUGACAGGGCUAUCCCGAGUGCCAUCCGCUGAGGAAGGCUUUUACCCAGUCUAGAACGCUGGGGGAAUAAGGAGAGGGCAAGUCUGGUGUCAGCCGCCGCGGUAAUACCAGCUCUCCGAGUGGUGUGGAUGUUUAUUGGGCCUAAAGCAUCCGUAGCUGGCUAAGUUAGUCCCUUGUUAAAUCCACCGAAUUAAUCGUUGGAUUGCGGGGGAUACUGCUUGGCUAGGGGACGAGAGAGGCAGACGGUAUUUCCGGGGUAGGGGUGAAAUCCUAUAAUCCCGGGAAGACCACCAGUGGCGAAGGCUGUCUGCUAGAACGCGCCCGACGGUGAGGGAUGAAAGCUGGGGGAGCGAACCGGAUUAGAUACCCGGGUAGUCCCAGCUGUAAACGAUGCAGGCUAGGUGUUUGGACGGCCACGUGCCGUUCUAGUGCCGCAGGGAAGCUGUUAAGCCUGCCGCC